CAGCAGUCGCCGCGGUAAUACGAAGGGUGCAAGCGUUAAUCGGAAUUACUGGGCGUAAAGCGUGCGUAGGCGGUUUGUUAAGUCUGUUGUGAAAUCCCCGGGCUCAACCUGGGAAUGGCAAUGGAUACUGGCAAGCUAGAGUGUGUCAGAGGAUUGUGGAAUUCCCGGUGUAGCGGUGAAAUGCGUAGAGAUCGGGAGGAACAUCAGUGGCGAAGGCGGCCAUCUGGGACAACACUGACGCUGAGGCACGAAAGCGUGGGGAGCAAACAGGAUUAGAUACCCGCGUAGUCCCUGUCUCUUAUAC
RNAcentral lists this ribosomal RNA (304 nucleotides) under uncultured bacterium. Its description in RNAcentral is "partial 16S ribosomal RNA". It matches the Rfam family "Bacterial small subunit ribosomal RNA", at positions 509 to 807 of the family's 1533-position model. The record is from RNAcentral.